This is an RNA transcript of Heterocephalus glaber (naked mole-rat), 4572 nucleotides long. It is a transcript of the gene named PTTG1IP family member 2, with no coding region annotated. The record is from RefSeq and is a predicted model, not a curated record. Lineage: Eukaryota; Metazoa; Chordata; Mammalia; Rodentia; Bathyergidae.
AAGUUCAUCUACACCUCAGGAAAGGCCCCCAGAAAAGCACAACUGCUUUAUUAUGCUGUGCAGUAGUGGAAAUUAGAAUCCAGCUCUUUCUCGAAAACAGCAGAAUAGCAUGAAAGGAGAAAUGGGAUUUGAAGUCAAAUGAACCUCGAUUGCAUCCAGCGGACCAAGAGUGUGUGAUGAGAUUUGGGCCAGGAAGCCUGAGCCCGGUUGGACCGGGAUUACAUUGCCAGCAUUCCACAUUCUAGCUGGAACAUUAGGGUUCUAAGGCUCUGUUCAUUAUGCUGGAGUCCAGGGCUCAGAAGAGCCAGUCUCAGGACCCGGGGCCGUGAUGGGUCCCAGUCCCUGAGGAGGGACUACCUGUCCAGCUCAGUACCAGUGACGUCCACAUUCACCAGGCUGAGGAGCCAUGUGCUGGUGGAGGAGAUGGGGCCAGCUCUUCCUGCCAAUUUUCCUCUCCCUGUUUCUCAUCCAGCUGCUUACCAAUUUCUCAGGUAAUGGAUUUUCCCACGUCUUCAGCCAAAGGACCAAGCAGACAAGAAACAGUGAGAUUGAGGAGGCAUGUGCUCAAAAGAGAAACUGUCAAUUGUGCACAGAAGAUAAGAAAUGUAUUUGGUGCAGUGAAGAGCGCAUUUGCAAAAAAUACUGUUUUCCAUAUCAUGGCUGUAGUAUCAGUUCUAUGUAUUGGGCAAACUGUAGAGACAUCAAGUCUAUUUUUAUGGACGACGAGAAAGAACUACUGUUCACAGUUGGAAUCCCGAUGCCUGAAAAGAUAGAUCUUCCAGAGGGACAAGGAAGAAGUUUCUUCAAUGUUUUCUACAAUUGUGACCAGAAAAGAUAUUUGAUGUGAUUUCAUCUUCUUGAAUUGGAUAAGACUUGUUUUGAGGCUGAACCUGAUCCAUCCUGGAGAAUAUCUGCUGUAUGUACUUGAAAAGAAUGUGAAUUCUGCUGCUGUUAUUCAGAAUGUUCCACAUGCAGGCUUCCUUCAGGAUUUUAACCAUCCUUACAGUCUCUUUGAGAAAGAUUGAACUUUGAAAUUCCCUUGUUAAAUUUUAAAAUUCUAUUGAAAGUUUUUGUACAAUGUUUCAUUACUUUUACAUUAUGAUUUGUAUGGUAAUUUGACAUCAUAUGAGUGGAAGAGGGCUUUUAUUUUUAUUUUUUAUUUUCUUUUGGUACCGGGGAUCGAACUUGGGUCCUUGCGCUUGCUAGACAGGCAGCAGAACCACUGAGCUAAAUCCUGGCCCUAAAAACCUUUUUAAAACCCCUAUUUUAUGGUUAGUUAAAAGUUUUUAUUUUUUAAAAAAAUAUGCUCCUCCUUGCUAGUUUUUCAAUCUUCAUAUUUUCCCUUUUGAGCAGAAGGUGAUACAAAAAUAAUAUUCAAGCACCUGACAUAUACAAAUUUAUAUAUGGCUUGAGGACUGGAGGCUAUACUCUAUGACUGUGUCUGAAAUUAUUUUCUCGUCUUUAUUACCAGGCAACAAAUAAAUACUCUAAUUCAAAUUUUGUUUUACAUUUAUUAUUACAAAAGUAGUCCACUAUUCAAAAGCUUUCAUACAAUAGUGAAUCUUAGGUAAUUAUUGAUUUUUUUUUUUGGUACAGGGAUCGAACUUGGGUCCUUGCCCUAGCGAGGCAGGCAACAGAACCACUGAGCUAAAUCCCCAGCAAUUAUUGAUAUUAUUACAAUCUGUUAAUGAAAUUUUGAUUGACUCAAUAGUAUAUUUUAAAAAAUAUAUUAUUUUUCAAAUAAAAAGAUGAAGUCUCUUUAUAACUUCAAUAAUAUUAGAUGCUUUUUAAAUAGAAUAAAAUUAUGCCAGAUUUGUUUCAGUAUCAAAUUAUUUCUUCAUUAAAAUUCAGCAAUAUUCCAAUAUAUUCAUUAAUAAUUAUUUCACUAACUUUUUUUUAAGUUCCACAUUUUAGGCACAAUUUGAAAAUAUUUGAUGUUGUUUCUACUUGUAGUAGUACUUUGAUAUAAAAGUAAUAUGGCUUCCACUGAACUUAGGCAUAUGGGUAUAGAGUAUCAGAGGUUAUGAAAAAAAAUCCACCGUCAUAAUAGGAAUGAAUGAAACUUGACACUGUAUAUAUUUAGAAAAUUCUCUCUAAGAUAUGAAAGCUAGAAUUAAUUGAGCUAGGAAAAAUUACAUUUGUCUAUGAUCCCAGCACUUGGGAAGCUAAGGCAGGAGGAUCUCCAUGAGUUCAAGGUCAGUCUGGACUACAUAGUGAGUUCAGGGCCAGCCUGGAAAACAUAGCAAGACCCUAUCUCAAAAGAAAGACAAAGGAAAGAAAGAAAGAAAGAAAGAAAGAGAGAGAGAGAGAGAGAGAGAGAGAGAGAGAGAGAGAGAGAGAGAGAGAGAAAGGAAGGAAGGAAGGAAGGAAGGGAAAAUAAAGAAAAAAGAGAAAGAAAAAAGAAAGAUGAAAAUAAAAUAAAAAGAAAAGUUAAAUGUGUCUAAAUUGAAGUGAGUAUAACUCCAGAAGACAUAUCUUGCGUUGGAUCCAAGACUGAUUUCUAUCUUACCCAGUGGGUUAGCUUUCCAUGUCUGUGACUAGAUACCUAGGAAAACCAAAUUAAGAGGAGGAAAGGUUUAUGUUGGCUCCAGGUUUCAGAGGUCUCAGUCCAUGGUCACUUAACUCUUGUGUGUUGGGCUGCGGUGAGGCCAAGUAUCAUGGUGCGGAGUGCAUAGUGGAGCAGAGCUGUUUACCUUAUGGUGGCUGGGAAAGAAAGACCGAGGAGGGGGUGGGGCCAAUCUCUCAUGAAGGUCGUGAGCCUGAGUACGUAACUUCCGUCCACUAGGACCUGCCUGUGAAGAUUCUACCUCCUCCCAUAGCCCACAGGCUGGCAACCCAGCCUUCAGCACGUGGCAUUUGGGGACUAAGAUCUGAACCAUCAGAGGCAGAAAUGUUGACUUUGGUUAAAGAACUGAAACUGCCAUGUGGAAAACCUUUUCUCCCAGCCAGUCGGCUAGAUCAACUAAGCCAUCUGUCAAUGGAAGUCCUUUCUCCUGUGUCUCAAGUUUAUUUUUUCAGAUGUAUUCUGGAUUUUGAGCCCACUUUCUAGUGAAUGUUAAAUCUCAGUGUGAAGGAAGGAUGUUACAGUGCUCUCAGUUUGCCUUAAUGCUUUACUGAUGAUUUAUUUUCAGUAGCUUCCUGGUUUUAAUACCUGCCACAUAUAAAAUCAGCCACACUCUCCAGCUGGCAAUAUUGUGCUGGCAGUAAAGAUAAGACAGAGCCAAAAAAAUCCAAGUUUUAUUGAACUUGCCACAGACCAGCACUUUAUUCUCAUUAUUCUACAAAAGAUGGGAGUUUAUAUGUAGAAAAAUUAGGAAGAAAAACAAGAGAAUAUAUUUGUUUUGACCACUUAUCAGAUUACCAUUGUUAAGAUUUAACAAUACUUUAUUUUUUACUAGAGCGAUCCAUAUCUCAAAGGUGUGUUAGCUAGAUUGUUAAAAGUAGUUCCAGGGGCCGGGGAUUUAGCUCAGUGGUGUCGCUGCCUGCUGCGCAAGCGCAAGGACCCGAGUUCGAUCACCAGUACCAAAAAAAAAAAGGAAAAAAAAGUGGUUCCAAUAUUUGUUCAUUCACUACAUAUGGCCAUUUUCACAUACCUUUAAAAAAUCUCAUUAAUUGAUAUCUUUACGGAAUUUAAGUUUCUCCCCUUUCCUCAUAACAAAUUCCAAUUUAAUAUCUAAGUUCAAAACAAGUCAGGCUAUGUUAUAUAGACUAUCCUUUCACUUUCGAUCAGUUGUUAAAAAAGUUGUCCUAUAUAUCACCUGAGUACAGCUUUUGAUUUAUAAUGAUCUGAAAAAGGAUUUCUAUAAAAAACAGCAAAGGGAAAAAUGUUAAGCCAUAGCAAGAUUUUAUUUUAUUGUAAUUAUAAUAAUUUUUAAUUAAUUCCUACAUGACUAACUAUAACUAAUUCAUUUUAGAAUCUACCAUAAUUCUCUAUUUACAGAAAUCAUUGAUCAACCUUUUCCAGUUUUUAAUGUAAUGUAUAUAGUCAGAUUUAACAAUUAUCAGUAUCAUAAUUCCAAAAUGAAUGCUAUAUUUGAAAGAUUAAAUUUUGGAUUUGUUUGAUGUUAAGUGAAAUUGUGAACAACCUUUGUCCUCUGUUUUCUGCUUGACUUUUUUCUUUUAUCACCCAUCAGUGAAUGUAAAAAAGUAGAGUACAACUCAGCUGACUGCCUUUGAAGAGUAACAAUUCACAAUAAGAAUAAGUUGAUCAGCAUAGUAAUAAGGGUUAGCAACAGCUUUCUCAAGAGAUAUUUUAUGGAAAGUGAUGGAGGGCUGCCCAUCACUGCACAUGGACUGCUGACACUCUUGACUUUAAUAGGAGAGCAUUUAUCUUUUGCACCUGCUGCAGUAUAUGACUAGCUGUCAUGUACUCCAUCCAACAAAAGAGAGGAAAAACUGUCACUAUGAUUUAGGAAAUAUACACUGGCAUAAAAAAGCAAAAUAUUUUGAGCAGUUAGGAUUUAUUUUUCUUUUUCUAUUUUGCUUGUUUUCUAUGGUGAUUUAUUUAAGUUUUGUUUAGUAGUAUUAAUAUUUUCCUAUUGAAUUCAUCAAUAAAGAAAGUUCUUUGAAUUA